Molecule: ribosomal RNA, 253 nt
Filed under: Dorea longicatena
Lineage: Bacteria; Bacillati; Bacillota; Clostridia; Lachnospirales; Lachnospiraceae
Description: partial 16S ribosomal RNA
Rfam family: Bacterial small subunit ribosomal RNA
Source: RNAcentral
UACGUAGGGGGCAAGCGUUAUCCGGAUUUACUGGGUGUAAAGGGAGCGUAGACGGCACGGCAAGCCAGAUGUGAAAGCCCGGGGCUCAACCCCGGGACUGCAUUUGGAACUGCUGAGCUAGAGUGUCGGAGAGGCAAGUGGAAUUCCUAGUGUAGCGGUGAAAUGCGUAGAUAUUAGGAGGAACACCAGUGGCGUAGGCGGCUUGCUGGACGAUGACUGACGUUGAGGCUCGAAAGCGUGGGGAGCAAACAGG